This 455-nucleotide ribosomal RNA is filed under the name uncultured Mollicutes bacterium. RNAcentral describes it as "bacterial SSU rRNA". It matches the Rfam family "Bacterial small subunit ribosomal RNA", at positions 925 to 1382 of the family's 1533-position model. Lineage: Bacteria; Bacillati; Mycoplasmatota; Mollicutes. The record is from RNAcentral.
ACAAGCGGUGGAGUAUGUUGUUUAAUUCGAAGAUACACGAAGAACCUUACCAGGUCUUGACAUACCAUUGACAGGCGCAGAGAUGUGCUCUCCUUCGGGCAAUGGAUACAGGUGGUGCAUGGUUGUCGUCAGCUCGUGCCGUGAGGUGUUGGGUUAAGUCCCGCAACGAGCGCAACCCUCAUUGUUAGUUACUACCAUUCAGUUGAGGACUCUAAUGAGACUGCCAACGAUAAGUUGGAGGAAGGUGGGGAUGACGUCAAAUCAUCAUGCCCUUUAUGACCUGGGCUACAAACGUACUACAAUGGCCAAUACAAAGAGAUGCGAAGCGGUGACGUGGAGCGAACCUCAGAAAGUUGGUCUCAGUUCAGAUUGAAGUCUGCAACUCGACUUCAUGAAGCCGGAAUCGCUAGUAAUCGCGGAUCAGCCAUGCCGCGGUGAAUACGUUCCCGGGCCUU